UACGGAGGGUGCAAGCGUUAUCCGGAUUCACUGGGUUUAAAGGGUGCGUAGGUGGAUUGGUAAGUCAGUGGUGAAAUCUCCGGGCUUAACCCGGAAACUGCCAUUGAUACUAUCAGUCUUGAAUACCGUGGAGGUCAGUAGAAUAUGUCAUGUAGCGGUGAAAUGCUGAGAUAUGACAUAGAAUACCAAUUGCGAAGGCAGCUGGCUACACGAAUAUUGACACUCAGGCACGAAAGCGUGGGGAUCAAACAGG
Molecule: ribosomal RNA, 253 nt
Filed under: uncultured bacterium
Lineage: Bacteria
Description: partial 16S ribosomal RNA
Rfam family: Bacterial small subunit ribosomal RNA
Source: RNAcentral